Molecule: long non-coding RNA, 1848 nt
Organism: Talpa occidentalis (Iberian mole)
Lineage: Eukaryota; Metazoa; Chordata; Mammalia; Eulipotyphla; Talpidae
Exons: 4
Source: RefSeq, a predicted model, not a curated record
ACCAUGAUUUAGUGAAGUGAACAGCCUGAGGCUCUGAGCCUCUUGUGUCUGCACUCUGUUAUGUGAGAAAGAAAGAGAAGCUGGACUGGGUUCUUGAUAUGGUUAGGAACAAGAAUUUAAUAAUGCCUGUGGUUUGAAAGCAUCUUAACUGUGGGUCAAUCGACUAGCUCUUGACGCUGAAUCUGAGUUUACAGGUGCUGCCUUAGUACAACAUACUCCCAAGCCCCUGGCCACCAGUGAGGAUCCUUAUCCUCAUCUUGCCGCCUUCCUUCAGGGCACACUUGGAAUUCGCCCACAUCUUGAAGAUGAAGAGAGAACACAAAUGUGAACAAUGAACAAAAUAAUUUAUUAGAUUAUCUUGUCAUUGUUCUCUUAGAAAAUAAUGUUUCCUCUUUCCAAAAUGUGUGAAGGUUAUAUUUGGAACCACUCUUGUUUUGAUACUUUGGUUUAAAUAACUCAGUUUGGAGAUGUGCUGUUAUCUGAGGAGAAUAAUAUUUCCAUGGGAACCAAGAAUAACACAAUCAAAACAUAGCCAUUGAACAUAUCAAAAUUCUUUCGCCCAUAAUGAUAUUCAAAGAGAAAAAGCCAAAAAAAUUUAUUAUCAUCGAGGCAACUAGUAUUCACUCCUUAUUUUUGAAACCAUGUCAUUAAUGUGAAGUAUCCUUGAUGUCUGUCUAUUUGAACCCUAUAAUUCCAGCUGACAAAAUAAAGCUCUAUUUUAUGGAAGAAUGCCAGCUAGAUGUAGAAAGAUAGUAAAAUUAGAAGGAUGACAACUUAGAAAAUCAUAAUCUUCCAACUCCUCAUGACAAUGUAGAUCCAAGCUAGAGCUAUCAUCAUCUGUUAAGCUAUUGGGUGAUUCUUUGAUGGGACCUGGAUGGCCACUUGGAACCAAAGUAACACCCCAACAGCAGGAGAAAACACAACAAAUGGAUCAGAGUACCACCACUCUAACCUACUGUUCGGUCUUCCAUCAGACAUGGCGACACAUGCAGAUGCAAGGGCCGCCAAGCCCACUGUGGUGCCAAGUGACCUGGAUCAGCAGGAAGAAGCACAGCCCUUCUUCAGGCCGCCUUUGCUUAGGUUUGAGAAGAGAAAGGAACUUCAUCAAGAGUCUCACUAAUGAUAGGAUAUUCAGCGACAAAUUGAAAGAUAGACGGAGAGCUGUAUGCAUGGACAAGGAAAGACCCUCGGGCUUCCCUGUGCAGUGCGUGAAGUCAGAACAGAGCACCAGGCAUCACAGAACCCACUCACACACACAUACAGCGAAGACAAGACUGGAUGAACACACGUCACUCUUUUAAUGAGUAAUAUGUAGGAGUAAGUAGCAGCAGAUAUUUGUUUAUUUCUCGUGUUGGUUUUUAGAACAGAGGAAAGAUGAACUCAUACCCUCCUGGUAGAAAUGAGACAGCCACUUGAAAGCAGGUAGGCAUUUCGUCAAAAGUUAAACAUAGAGUUACUGUGUGACCAGCCAUCCUACUGCAGGGUGUUUACCCAAGAGGAAAGGAAAUAGAUGUAUGCACAAAGGCACAAAUGUUUCUAGAAGCACGAUGUGUAAUUGUUCUGAACUGGAAGAGACCAAAAUGCUCACCAGCCUGGGAAUGGACAACAUCCGGGUGGACGGUCCUGUCAUUGAAUCCUCUUCAGCGGCGUUGGUACCCUAUGGGGACGAAACUCAAAAUAAAGGUGCUGAGUGACAGGCCAGACCAAAAAAAGGAUAUACUGUGUAUUUCCAUUUGGUAUAAACUUCUAGAAAUGUAAAGGAAUCUACAGAAGGCAGAUUGGUGAUUAAAUGAAGAGUGGGAGGGGGAAAUGUGGCCUGAGGAAACUUCUGGGGGUGAUGGAUAGGCU